Molecule: ribosomal RNA, 375 nt
Filed under: uncultured bacterium
Lineage: Bacteria
Description: bacterial SSU rRNA
Rfam family: Bacterial small subunit ribosomal RNA
Source: RNAcentral
GGCUCAACUUCGGAACUGCACGUGAAACUACAAGUCUUGAGGAUUGGCGGAGAAAACGGAAUUCCACAAGUAGCGGUGAAAUGCGUAGAUAUGUGGAAGAACACCGGUGGCGAAGGCGGUUUUCUAGCUUAUUCCUGACACUGAGGCGCGAAAGCAAGGGGAUCAAACAGGAUUAGAUACCCUGGUAGUCCUUGCUGUAAACGAUGUAUACUUGAUGUAAUUGGGCUCAACCCUAAUUGUGUCGUAGCUAACGCGAUAAGUAUACCGCCUGAGGAGUACGCUCGCAAGGGUGAAACUCAAAAGAAUUGACGGGGGCCCGCACAAGCAGUGGAGCAUGUGGUUUAAUUCGAUGCAACGCGAAGAACCCUUACNCCA